RNAcentral lists this ribosomal RNA (416 nucleotides) under uncultured bacterium. RNAcentral's name for it is "bacterial SSU rRNA". It matches the Rfam family "Bacterial small subunit ribosomal RNA", at positions 28 to 441 of the family's 1533-position model. The record is from RNAcentral.
GACGAACGCUGGCGGCGUGCUUAAUACAUGCAAGUUCAACGACUUUUAGAGUAGCAAUAUUUUAAAAGGAGUGGCGCACGGGUGAGUAACACGUAGGUAAUCUGCCUUCAGGACUGACACAACUCGUCGAAAGACGGGCUAAUAUCAGAUAAUGCAGCGGCUCCGCAUGGAGACAGUUGUUAAAGUACAAGCGCCUGAAGAUGAGCCUGCGGUCCAUUAGCUAGUUGGUAGAGUAACAGCCUACCAAGGCAACGAUGGAUAGCUGGUCUGAGAGGAUGAUCAGCCACACUGGAACUGAGACACGGUCCAGACUCCUACGGGAGGCAGCAGUAAGGAAUAUUGCUCAAUGGCCGAAAGGCUGAAGCAGCAACGCCGCGUGAAGGAUGAAUGGCUUGGCCUGUAAACUUCUGUAAAAA